RNAcentral lists this long non-coding RNA (227 nucleotides) under Homo sapiens (human). Its description in RNAcentral is "HSALNT0187071". The record is from RNAcentral. Lineage: Eukaryota; Metazoa; Chordata; Mammalia; Primates; Hominidae.
UAAGAAGAAAUAAUGCAAAUAGCACUGAAUGGGGACUGGUGACUGCUAAAAGAAUUUUUUGGAGAGGAAACAUCAGUGAUACUUAGAAGAGAAACUCCAUGAUGGUCACUGGGUUGGUCACUGGAUACUCAGGCAGAUAGAGGGGUCCCAAGACAACUAAGCGCUGAGGAUUCCUGCAUCUGCUGGCAGAUAAGGGGAGAGAAGUUCUGAUGACAUCAGCUGAACAC